This 70-nucleotide non-coding RNA is filed under the name Providencia stuartii. The record is from RNAcentral. Lineage: Bacteria; Pseudomonadati; Pseudomonadota; Gammaproteobacteria; Enterobacterales; Morganellaceae. RNAcentral also lists the same sequence under 1 other name.
CUAGGCAUGACAUUGCUCACAUUGCUUCCAGUGUUUUUUUUAUAGCCAGCAUGGGUGCUGGCUUUUUUUU